RNAcentral lists this ribosomal RNA (2900 nucleotides) under human gut metagenome. RNAcentral describes it as "bacterial LSU rRNA". It matches the Rfam family "Bacterial large subunit ribosomal RNA". The record is from RNAcentral.
UUAAGCGACUAAGCGUACACGGUGGAUGCCCUGGCAGUCAGAGGCGAUGAAGGACGUGCUAAUCUGCGAAAAGCGUCGGUAAGGUGAUAUGAACCGUUAUAGCCGGCGAUGUCCGAAUGGGGAAACCCAGUGCAAUUCGUUGCACUAUCGUUAACUGAAUACAUAGGUUAACGAGGCGAACCGGGGGAACUGAAACAUCUAAGUACCCCGAGGAAAAGAAAUCAACCGAGAUUCCCCCAGUAGCGGCGAGCGAACGGGGAGCAGCCCGGAGUCUGAAUCAGCUUGUGUGUUAGUGGAAGCGUCUGGAAAGUCGCAGGGUACAGGGUGAUACUCCCGUACACUAAAACACACAGGCUGUGAACUCGAAGAGUAGGGCGGGACACGUGGUAUCCUGUCUGAAUAUGGGGGGACCAUCCUCCAAGGCUAAAUACUCCUGACUGACCGAUAGUGAACCAGUACCGUGAGGGAAAGGCGAAAAGAACCCCGGCGAGGGGAGUGAAAAAGAACCUGAAACCGUGUACGUACAAGCAGUGGGAGCACCUUCGGGUGUGACUGCGUACCUUUUGUAUAAUGGGUCAGCGACUUAUAUUCUGUAGCAAGGUUAACCGUAUAGGGGAGCCGCAGGGAAACCGAGUCUUAACUGGGCGUUAAGUUGCAGGGUAUAGACCCGAAACCCGGUGAUCUAGCCAUGGGCAGGUUGAAGGUUGGGUAACACUAACUGGAGGACCGAACCGACUAAUGUUGAAAAAUUAGCGGAUGACUUGUGGCUGGGGGUGAAAGGCCAAUCAAACCGGGAGAUAGCUGGUUCUCCCCGAAAGCUAUUUAGGUAGCGCCUCGUGAACUCAUCUUCGGGGGUAGAGCACUGUUUCGGCUAGGGGGUCAUCCCGACUUACCAACCCGAUGCAAACUACGAAUACCGAAGAAUGUUAUCACGGGAGACACACGGCGGGUGCUAACGUCCGUCGUGAAGAGGGAAACAACCCAGACCGCCAGCUAAGGUCCCAAAGUCAUGGUUAAGUGGGAAACGAUGUGGGAAGGCCCAGACAGCCAGGAUGUUGGCUUAGAAGCAGCCAUCAUUUAAAGAAAGCGUAAUAGCUCACUGGUCGAGUCGGCCUGCGCGGAAGAUGUAACGGGGCUAAACCAUGCACCGAAGCUGCGGCAGCGACACUAUGUGUUGUUGGGUAGGGGAGCGUUCUGUAAGCCGUUGAAGGUGGCCUGUGAGGGUUGCUGGAGGUAUCAGAAGUGCGAAUGCUGACAUAAGUAACGAUAAUGCGGGUGAAAAACCCGCACGCCGGAAGACCAAGGGUUCCUGUCCAACGUUAAUCGGGGCAGGGUGAGUCGACCCCUAAGGCGAGGCCGAAAGGCGUAGUCGAUGGGAAACAGGUUAAUAUUCCUGUACUUGGUGUUACUGCGAAGGGGGGACGGAGAAGGCUAUGUUAGCCGGGCGACGGUUGUCCCGGUUUAAGCAUGUAGGCUGAUUGUCCAGGCAAAUCCGGAUAAUCAAGGCUGAGGUGUGAUGACGAGGCACUACGGUGCUGAAGUAACAAAUGCCCUGCUUCCAGGAAAAGCCUCUAAGCAUCAGGUAACAUCAAAUCGUACCCCAAACCGACACAGGUGGUCAGGUAGAGAAUACCAAGGCGCUUGAGAGAACUCGGGUGAAGGAACUAGGCAAAAUGGUGCCGUAACUUCGGGAGAAGGCACGCUGGUGUGUAGGUGAAGUCCCUGCGGAUGGAGCUGAGACCAGUCGAAGAUACCAGCUGGCUGCAACUGUUUAUUAAAAACACAGCACUGUGCAAACACGAAAGUGGACGUAUACGGUGUGACGCCUGCCCGGUGCCGGAAGGUUAAUUGAUGGGGUUAUCCGUAAGGAGAAGCUCUUGAUCGAAGCCCCGGUAAACGGCGGCCGUAACUAUAACGGUCCUAAGGUAGCGAAAUUCCUUGUCGGGUAAGUUCCGACCUGCACGAAUGGCGUAAUGAUGGCCAGGCUGUCUCCACCCGAGACUCAGUGAAAUUGAACUCGCUGUGAAGAUGCAGUGUACCCGCGGCAAGACGGAAAGACCCCGUGAACCUUUACUAUAGCUUGACACUGAACAUUGAGCCUUGAUGUGUAGGAUAGGUGGGAGGCUUUGAAGCGUGGACGCCAGUCUGCGUGGAGCCAACCUUGAAAUACCACCCUUUAAUGUUUGAUGUUCUAACGUUGGCCCCUGACCGGGGUUGCGGACAGUGUCUGGUGGGUAGUUUGACUGGGGCGGUCUCCUCCCAAAGCGUAACGGAGGAGCACGAAGGUUAGCUAAUCCUGGUCGGACAUCAGGAGGUUAGUGCAAUGGCAUAAGCUAGCUUGACUGCGAGCGUGACGGCGCGAGCAGGUGCGAAAGCAGGUCAUAGUGAUCCGGUGGUUCUGAAUGGAAGGGCCAUCGCUCAACGGAUAAAAGGUACUCCGGGGAUAACAGGCUGAUACCGCCCAAGAGUUCAUAUCGACGGCGGUGUUUGGCACCUCGAUGUCGGCUCAUCACAUCCUGGGGCUGAAGUAGGUCCCAAGGGUAUGGCUGUUCGCCAUUUAAAGUGGUACGCGAGCUGGGUUUAGAACGUCGUGAGACAGUUCGGUCCCUAUCUGCCGUGGGCGCUGGAGAAUUGAGGGGGGCUGCUCCUAGUACGAGAGGACCGGAGUGGACGCAUCACUGGUGUUCGGGUUGUCAUGCCAAUGGCAUUGCCCGGUAGCUAAAUGCGGAAGAGAUAAGUGCUGAAAGCAUCUAAGCACGAAACUUGCCCCGAGAUGAGUUCUCCCUGAGACUUUAAGUCUCCUGAAGGAACGUUGAAGACGACGACGUUGAUAGGCCGGGUGUGUAAGCGCAGCGAUGCGUUGAGCUAACCGGUACUAAUGAACCGUGAGGCUUAACCUU